CCUACACAAGAGUAAGGAGAGAGAGAAAUAAUUAUAUACAACUCUUUGGCCAGUCACUUGAUUCCAUGUGUAGGGGUGCCACCGCGCUAGCAUGAAGCAACAAUCCAACAAAAUCUGGUUACACUGAUACAGAUGAUAUUCCAAAUGAAUGGGCUUCGCUGAGUAUUCUCAGAAUAUGAUUUCAAAAGGAAUUCAGCAGAGAAUCAGAAUAUUAUUUUGGUUUAAGAAUGAGCAUUUCAAUGCAACAUCACACCAACACCAGAUCAAAAGGACAAAUAAAAGGAUUGUGACAGAUCACAUGAAAGUGAAGUUUAUUUCUUCAGGGUGCUGCUCACUUUGGAGCUGCUGCUUUUGAACCUCACUUUGCCGGUGCAAUGUCUCAUGCGUCAUGCAGUUCUCUCCUAGAAUCACUCGAAGAUGAAUUCUUUCUAUUUCUUUUUCACAUAUGACCUGAAUUAUCUUCCGAGAGGAAUGUACUUGAGGGGAGAACAGGGGCAGCCUUAAGAAUCAGAUGGCAGUGCCUCUCAAAACUUUUCUUUUUUUCACUGUCUUUUACCCCUCUCUUCACAGGAACAAACAAGGGAUUAAAAGGGAAAGGUAGGAAAACAACAUAACUCAAAAAGCAAAGUGCAAAAGCAAGCAUGGCUCAGCUUGCUUUGAUUCUACUCUCCCCCUCCAUUAGGUCCUUCAAAAGCACAGCAGAAUCAGCCAAAGCAAAAGAAGCGCCAGAACAGAACAAGAAGCAAGAAUACCGCAACAGCGACUGACACAAAUCCUGCUGCUACUUCCCCACAUUAUAAUAUGCGGUCACGUUGCCCAGCCGCAGCGUGGCAUCGCAUUUGCGCCACCCCAUCCCCAUGAGAAGAAGCUCUUAGAAGAUCAGCAGCAGUGCAAGUGUUGUGAAGUGAGGCGGCAGGAGAGAGGAAGGAGGAGGAGGCCGCGGAAGACGACGACGCUGCGCGGCGGCGGCCAGCGGUUGUCAUGAGAAGGCCGGCGGGGUCCGUGAGGCGGGCGGCGGCGGCGGCAUUGGCCAUCUUGUUUGGAGCGCUUGUGUUGAUGGCGUUGGUCAUGGACGACGGCGAGAAAGCGACUCUGCCGGCGAGCGACGCGGCAAUCGGCGGGAGGAGGAUGAUGCUCAGAGCCGAUGGAGAGCAGAGGACUCUACAGGAUUUCAGAGCUGACGAUCCCUUCCAGGACAGCAAGAGGAGGGUGCCUAAUGGCCCUGAUCCCAUCCACAACAGGGGAACCGGCAAGUCCGGGCGAUCGCCAGGCCGAGCAUGACGGUGAUGGCACGCAUGUCGAGGCACGGAAGCUUCCAAAGAGGCAGACAUGUGUGGAGCAUCAAACAGAUGGUGCAUUGCAUUGCAAGGAGGAAGAGGAACAGACAAGAGGUGCAUUGUGGUGGGUCUGGCUGGAAUGUGGGGUGUAACUAGGGGGAGGUGGCCUAUCUUCUUCUAAGCACUGCUAUUUAAGACAGUUUUAAGCAUGAUGAUAACUUUAACUUUUGGGGGGGGGGGGGGGGGGACAAAGGCUAUUCUAUUCUACCAGUGGGAGUUUUUUUUUUGUAAAGAGAGCAGUAAGUAUCAAGCUUCCCUCUCACAUGGAAACAAGCAAGCAUCAAAGAUUCUUGGCAAA
Panicum virgatum (switchgrass) is the source of this 1635-nucleotide long non-coding RNA. RefSeq lists it as uncharacterized. The record is from RefSeq and is a predicted model, not a curated record. Lineage: Eukaryota; Viridiplantae; Streptophyta; Magnoliopsida; Poales; Poaceae. The transcript has 2 exons.